Molecule: ribosomal RNA, 700 nt
Filed under: Halomonas fontilapidosi
Lineage: Bacteria; Pseudomonadati; Pseudomonadota; Gammaproteobacteria; Oceanospirillales; Halomonadaceae
Description: bacterial SSU rRNA
Rfam family: Bacterial small subunit ribosomal RNA
Source: RNAcentral
AGCUUGCUCCAGGCGUCGAGCGGCGGACGGGUGAGUAAUGCAUAGGAAUCUGCCCGGUAGUGGGGGAUAACCUGGGGAAACUCAGGCUAAUACCGCAUACGCCCUACGGGGGAAAGCAGGGGCUCUUCGGACCUUGCGCUAUCGGAUGAGCCUAUGUCGGAUUAGCUAGUUGGUGAGGUAAUGGCUCACCAAGGCGACGAUCCGUAGCUGGUCUGAGAGGAUGAUCAGCCACAUCGGGACUGAGACACGGCCCGAACUCCUACGGGAGGCAGCAGUGGGGAAUAUUGGACAAUGGGCGAAAGCCUGAUCCAGCCAUGCCGCGUGUGUGAAGAAGGCUUUCGGGUUGUAAAGCACUUUCAGUGAGGAAGAACGCCUUGGGGCUAAUACCCCCGAGGGAAGACAUCACUCACAGAAGAAGCACCGGCUAACUCCGUGCCAGCAGCCGCGGUAAUACGGAGGGUGCAAGCGUUAAUCGGAAUUACUGGGCGUAAAGCGCGCGUAGGCGGCGUGAUAAGCCGGUUGUGAAAGCCCCGGGCUCAACCUGGGAACGGCAUCCGGAACUGUCAGGCUAGAGUGCAGGAGAGGAAGGUAGAAUUCCCGGUGUAGCGGUGAAAUGCGUAGAGAUCGGGAGGAAUACCAGUGGCGAAGGCGGCCUUCUGGACUGACACUGACGCUGAGGUGCGAAAGCGUGGGUAGCAAA